CGAUAUUCUUGAUAAAAAUCCUCUGUAUAAUAUUUUAAUCAAUAUGAAUAUGUGCUUCCAUACAAGAUCAAAGACAAAAACUACUACAUAGUUUUAAGAUAAUUUAUAUAAUUUUUAAAUAAAACUACACUGCAUAAUUUUGAUAUAACAAACUAAACAAAUAUACCCAACAUUAAUCCCUAAUUCAAUCAAGCCUCCACCCUCGCAAAACCUUGUUGCUGUCUCCUCGUGGUGUCGCCUCCACCCGCUGCUGCAUUCUUCAUCGGCUGCUGCUGUCCCUUUGUUGCUGGCUGCUGCUGUCUACUCGUUGUGUCGCCUCCACCCGCUGCUGCAUUCUUCAUCGGCUGCUGCUGUCCCUUUGCUGCUGUCGCCUUAAGGUAAAUUUCUGUCGCCCUUCUUGUUGUUGGUAUACGAAGUGCAGAGUCUGUUUGCUUUGUGUAUGCCGACUAAAUUAUUUGAUCUUUUCGCUUCUGACAAGAUAAUAUUCAGAUGUUUAAGUUGAGGAUAUGACUAAAGGUGAGAUAGUGUGAUUUUCAUUUUCAUAAACGUGUCUAUUCAUUGGUUACUGCAAAUGUGUGAGCGAGAAAUUUGUGCUGGUCAGAGAGCCAAUAGAACAUAGGAUUAUCCAAAGUUGGUUAUAGAUGCAUUGUAACUCAUCCUUGUCAGAGUGAUCGAAUUUUCUCUUGCCCUCCAAUCAUGUGAAGCUGGGUUCUUGUCUGUGCCUGCUGAAGCUUCUACUUAUGUAUUUUCUUGAUCUUUUGCAUUUUGUUUCAACUUUGAGCUUGUAGUAUUUACAUCUUCUGUGUUCUUCCUUGUGAAUUUCCACUUAUCUUCUGAUUAGUCUAUCCUAGUUGAAUGUUUGAUAUAUGAUGUGCAAAUUUCUGUCGCAGGAUUAUUUAAUAUGCUAACUGUGUUUUUUUUUUUUCAAAUGUGGGGAUACAUUUUGUGCUUUCCACUUCAAUACCGGAUAGUUUUGGUAUAUGAGAAUAUGUAUGCCGGAUAUGUGAAUGCAUCAAGUUCUUUUUCUUCUGCGAUGCUGUGUGUUUUCUUAAUGCCCCUUAUAAAUUUGAGGAAAAAGUGCAAAUGAUUUGCUGGUGAGCAGUGGAGUCCUAUGGUGAUGGUUGAUGCCUCUGGGAGGAAAUAAUCGUUGCACUGCAACAAAUUGACUGAAUGACCUUCCCUCUCGGACACGCUUUAUGCAAAAUGUAGGUCAUUUGAUAAUUGGAAAUUCUUCAAUUCCUGUUAAUGAAAUCACUCAGAACUCCACAUAUGUUUUCCUGGAAUAAUGUUUUCUUGUAAAAUAAAAAACGGAGGCUUCUUAUGUUUUAGCAAACAUGGCUUUUGCUAUGAAGUCGCUCCCCAACAGUGCAUGAUGCAUGGCUGAGCAAUGGUCCUUUCUUAUUGAGUUGAUUAUUAUUAAUGUAGUUUGUCUAGUUUUGAUAAUCUAAAAAUGUUCCAAAUAUGAAUCACGAUUGCAAGUGAGCAGGGGUCAAAUCUGAGAUGGGAUCAAAAAAUAAGAAAACGCAUUGUAGAGGAAAGAAUUUAUUCAGUUGCUAGAAACAUAUUGCUUGGGGGGAUCAAGUGUGAAUAAUUUUAUAGUAGAUAGCUAGAUGGUAAGAGCACCAUGUGAUGGUAAAUGCCGGUCUUCAUUUCAGUGAAAGCAUUUUUGCUUUUAUUUUGUAUGCUCACUUGGGAGAACCAGAGACCCACUCCAUAGCACAUAAUGUCCUAAAUUAUGGUAAUUAGCAUAGUUUUUAGCACUAGUGGUUGGUAGGCAAUUGGAACUCCGUGGACAGUCUCCUCAUUGGUGCCAGCCAAUGGAUACCGGAGACGUCUACAUGCUGUGUCGAUCGGCCUCAUGAUGAUGCAGCUGUUUGUUCAAAAAAAAUAAUUAAGAAAACCUCAUUUAGCUGUGUCGAUCACAUACAAUCAAGCCCAGUUUGUAUAUCAAAUUAAAGCCUUUGCUUCUAAACCCAAUCCCAAUCCUGCUGAUAAUCUCGUCUCUUUCCUCAAUAAUGCCAAAGGCGCAACUGUCGAUAGUGCUGUUAAGAAGAUUGGUCUGCGGGGCCAGUUCCGUGUUGUCAUGAUUGGAACUCUUACUGGAGCACAGUGGGGUAUCUAUGAUGCAUUCAAAGCUUCUGUAGGACUUUCAGCUACUGCUGGUGGUGCUGCUCCUGCAGCCCUGCUGAGCUUGUAAUUUCUGAAAACAGUACGUUGGAAUAAUAUGCACAGAACUCACUAGAUUGAUAUUAAAAAACACAACUCAGCAGUGUAACAGGUUCAGUACUAUGGAAAAGGAGCUCCAGGCACCACUAGGACCGACAUAUCAUUUUCAAUUGCGUACCAGUUGAACAUGGUGGACGCAUAAUGCCUAAAAAACUGAAAAUUUGAUUCUGUUUCAUGGAUAUUCUGGAUCAUUUAGAUUUAUUCAAUUUAUUCACAAUGUUAUAGAUAUGUGAGAAAUUCAGCAAAAUUGAUAUUUUAUUCCACUAUUAUACAACAUUUCAGUGAAGGUAAGAUUUUUAUGAUACUA
Molecule: RNA transcript, 2533 nt
Organism: Ricinus communis (castor bean)
Lineage: Eukaryota; Viridiplantae; Streptophyta; Magnoliopsida; Malpighiales; Euphorbiaceae
Gene name: mitochondrial phosphate carrier protein 3, mitochondrial
Exons: 4
Source: RefSeq, a predicted model, not a curated record